Molecule: long non-coding RNA, 3021 nt
Organism: Gallus gallus (chicken)
Lineage: Eukaryota; Metazoa; Chordata; Aves; Galliformes; Phasianidae
Exons: 4
Source: RefSeq, a predicted model, not a curated record
GGGUGUAGCUGUCAGUAUAAAAGAUGGGUGAGUAAGCAACUGAGCAGCAAAGCGCAAGAAGCUAGCAGCAGUGCUAAGGAGAUUACAGAAACAGCAGUGAUACUGUACUGAAAGAGAUGAGUAAAAGAAAGAGGAUGGAGAGAAACCCUAACUCUUGUGAGAACUUUUUCUGCCUGGACAUUUGGAAAGAGCAGAAAUAAACAUCAGAUAAGCGACCACUAGAGAGUACAACCAAUUGUCAAGCACAUGGACUGGAUAAAAUGCCAUAUAAAGACAAGGAAUCAGUUUAUACCGGUACGUAUUUAUGAAGACUAUGCUGACUUACUGAAAGGCUGGAAGAAAGCAAAAUAGCAUUGGACCCACUUGGAAAAAAAAAGACGACCCAGCAACAACAUGGAUGCUAUUUUUUUUUUUUCCCUAAAUAAUGAAGUCAUAACAGUACUAACAGUAUAUACUACACUGAUGACUGCACAGAACUAAGUGAAGCCAUCGACAGUAUUGAUUGGAUAUACCUCACUGUCCCAGACAAACACCAUAGGGUUUUUUGGUUGUUGUUGUUUGUAAAACAAAAAUAAUUGCAAAAUCAAGAGAUAAAGAGGAUUCAAGUGAGAUGUAAUCUAGCUAGGUGUUACAGAGGUGUUUCCCAAUGUGACUUCUUGCAAAAACUUAACCUGAAGGAAAAAAAAAUUAAAAGCACCAGUGUGCACCAGCUUUGAAUGGACCAGAAAUAAAGGAAAGUAAAGAAAGACUCACUGCUCCCAGCACCUGUCAGGAUCUCCAGUGCCCUGGGUUUUUCCUCCAGGUUCGCUGAGAGGCUGAGCUUGAACACCUUCUACAUUAGUUUCUGCUUUACCUUUGCAUUUGAGACCACCUCUUCAUACAUUUGGACAACAAACUGGGAUCUGGAAGUAUGACAUUCAUAUGAAAUAAUUAAUGAUACUACUUACACCAAAGGUAUUACAACAGCAUGUGGGUGUUUAAAAUGAAGUAUGGUAUGUGGCUGCUAUCAGAAGGAAGUCUCAAUCAUCUGUGCUCCUCAGCAUUGGCUGAAACAUGAGCAAGUUUGAAAUCACAGCAUGCAGAACAAGGUCUUACUAUGGGACAAAUCAUUUUUGUGCAGUCUAUGCAGCAUAUGGAGCAGAUACUGCUUAUUAUGGCCAAGUAGUUUUUAGUCUUUACAAAGCACUGAACUGAUUUGCCAAAUGCUCAUUUAUUUAAUUAAUGAUCCAUUUCUCACUGAUUAUGAUGCUUUGACAUUUAUAGAUUGUAUAGCAUUUAUGGCACGCUACUGCAAUCAGAGACAGAUUACAUUACAUGAUACAGACAUUGACUCUUUUUGGUUGUAGUAACUGCCUCCAGGAAGGUUUCAAGCUGAAUGUAAGCAGUUACAAGCAGAGAUGUGCUGUUACAGGAAUAUUUUCUAGCACUCACCUUACUCCUGAAUAAUUCUACCGGGAAGCACAUUCUUUGGAUUUCUAUAGAGCCAGCCAAAAUGCUGCGACUGCAGUCUCAGCCAAUUCAUUUAAAGCUACAUACAGCUGGAUAAGCAAAGCUCAAGGCACACCCCUGGGACAAGCCAUACUACAGCAGGUGCUAGAUCUGAGAAGUUAAGGAAGGAGCAGGCUGUGUGCCAAAGGAGAGACAACACUCAGGGGCUCUUAGUGGCCUUGAGAACAGGAAGGUCCCACAGUACAGCGGUGAAUCUUGGCUAUGCACUAUGCUGUGGAUGAAAUCGCUGCCUCACACUUGAAAGGAACUGCAGGCAGCAAGAAGAGAGACUGAAGCACUGUCCUGGAUUGUACAUAAGUGGGGCUGCAGAAGGCCUGCUGAAAGUCAGUUAAAGCACUUCUCAGAUUUGUAUCAACUGUGGCAAGUCAUUUUAGGAAGCAAACAAAACAAAACAAACUUAACUGGAGAGUACCAAGACUGGAAUUAAAAUAACACAAAUUCCACUCAGCUGUAUCUGCCUUCUUGCUUGUUAGGUUUGAAAGAUCCUCAAAGCAAACUUGAGCUCAGCCAGCAUUCAGAAACUGCUAGAGACAAAAGAACUGCCUUCCCAACCAGCUCUAACAUUGAUCGCUUCUAGAAACUGCUUUGUAGGAAGCACCCCAGAGAGAAGUCAGCCCCUCGUUGGAGAGCAGCACAGAUCCGACUGCAAGAAGGUGGCCUGCAGCCACCAACAGCUCCAGAGCUCGGUGUAGCUGAAGAGUAAACCUUGCCCGGACAUACUAUUAAGUGCUUUCCGCCUGUUACUUGUUAGAAAUAACAGACAAACAAACCUCCUUCCCUCCCACUUCCCCACAGAAAACAACAGCUUCAUAGCACAAGCAAUAGGAUUCCACAUCUGGCUCAGGCCCAAAGCAUUCCACAUCAAAGGCGGCGAGAAGUGGCGGGAGCACCGCGUUCACACACGGUGAGCUGGGGCUGAGCACGUACAGAAGCUGCAGUCCCCACAUCCUCCUCACCCCACAUUUCUCAGCUCACUGCAGCAACUAUGUGCAGCAGACUGGGGUCUCUUUGGCCAUGGCAGACGAGCAGCAGAUCCUCAGGAUGAAUUUAGAGCCAGUGACGCCAUUUCCGGUAAAAAUUUGUUCCUCCCUUCCCUCUUCCCAACAAGAUGAAGUACACAAACUGCAGCCCAGGUUAAAAGUUCAGCCUACACUGAGGGAACCUGCACUGUGAUGAGAACAGACUUACCCCAAGAUUUGAUUUAAAGGUCUAAAGAAGUUGAUGCAGAAGCCAAGGUCUGCGUGGACAUAACAAACCUGUGUUGAGCUUCAAAAUAUCAUCAAAGCCUCAACUAUAAAAGGUGAUUCUCAUUUUCAUCAGGAGUUAAUACCAGGAAAACCUCAGCUAUUGCUGCCAGCUGGAUCUGACCUCAUCUUGUGACUGGUCUGGCUCUAAAACCACUGACAGUUUUUGGGAUAUGUCACCGGAGCUCUGCAUGAAGAGAAGAGGGUGCAAGACUGUCACAGCGACAUAAUCACAAUUUCAGUGAGAUCUUUCACAAUCACACAGCAA